This 111-nucleotide Y RNA is filed under the name Microcebus murinus (gray mouse lemur). RNAcentral describes it as "Y RNA (ENSMICG00000019874.3)". It matches the Rfam family "Y RNA". From Rfam's summary of the family: Y RNAs are components of the Ro ribonucleoprotein particle (Ro RNP), in association with Ro60 and La proteins. The Y RNAs and Ro60 and La proteins are well conserved, but the function of the Ro RNP is not known. The record is from Rfam by way of RNAcentral. Lineage: Eukaryota; Metazoa; Chordata; Mammalia; Primates; Cheirogaleidae.
GUCUGUCCGAAGGUAGUGAGUUAUCCCAAUUGAUUGUUCACAGUCAGUUAUAGAUUGGAGUAUUUGUUCCAUUCCCACCCCCAUCUCACUAUGGCACUUGACUAGUCUUUU